AGACGCAGCCGAGUAUCUUGAGGAGAAGGACUUUAAAGCGUUCAGGGAUUUUAGCUGCCGCUGUGGAGUUCCGCCGCUGUUCUUCCGCUGGAGGGCGCAGUAGUUCCUUAAGAGGGAAUGGUGCGGCGAAUAGCUGUGAGUUCAAAGUCCUGACUACAGGUAUAUCUACUGUAGUAGAAAAGGAUCUUUUAUUUGCUCUGGGCUUUAAGAAAGGGGAGUGGCAGAAGGGCUGCCUUCCAAGUCGCACACACGAAUGGGUCACGGGAGCUUCUAUCCUGGCUUUGGCCAGAUCGGCCUCCAGAGCCGAGCUCGAGCCUCUUCUGCCCCCUGCUGCUUGGCUGUAGCCCCUGCUCUUCUGCAAGUAGGCGGCAACUGCCAUUUGCAUAAGAUCAAUAUCACUCUCUGUUAAUGGCCUUGUAAGCUCCUGAAGGCAGAGGCCCUGUUUCUUCAUCGGUGCACCUCCACCUUUUGUUCUAGCUUGGAGUUCAAUAAAUUUUGGUGGGACUGCACCUGCAUGUCUAUAUAAAGGAAAUACCCUUCUCUUUGGAGGGAUGCUGUCAAGGUCACUCUCAGAAAAGCAAGCGAGACAAGAGGGUGUUGAGCAGUCAACAAAGCAAAGACUGGAUGUGAGGAAAUUUAUUUCUCCUAAAGCAGAGGCUAUGGAAAACUUACUAGGAACAGUGAAGUCUGGCCAUCUUAUGCUCAUUCAGCCAUCCAAGGUUGUAAAUAAGACUUUGAGAAUAAUAGUGAUGGUUCACUUAUACGUAGUGAACUUUUCAAAGGGCGUUUGCAUCUGUUAUCUUGUUUGCUCCUUCAGUGACUGUGACAUUGGCAAGACAAUUAUUGCUGAUGAUGCAACAAGCCCCAAGAGGUUAAACCAAGUUACUCUUGAGGCAGGGGCAGGUUCGACAUUAACAUGGGUUUUCUGACAUAAAUUGAAAAUCUGAGCAGGUUAAAAAGAAUGAUAAUGCCUAGGUUAGGGUUCUCAUAGAAAGUAACUGAAAGCAAUCUUUCCCAUGGCAGAUUAUGGAGUCAUAAUUAUGUUUUUAAAAACCUUUUUCUGUUUUUUUUUUUUAAUAUUGAAGUAUAUAUUGGAAACAAGGCCAUAUCCAAUGCUACAGUCCAAACCAAACUUUUAAAGCCAAGACAGCGGAAUGAAACUUACUCUUAGCCUUCUUCCCUUAGCUGUUGAGCAGACUUAACAAACUCUGGUAAGAAAUCCGGCAUAGGCAGGAACCUUACAAAAAAAAAAAGGAGGCAGUUUAGUUCCUUUCUACAUUAUAGUUUCAGAGCUUUCCUAUGAAACUAUACCAAAUGGGGCCAUUAGAAAUUAAUGCUCUCUAACCUGUAUCCUCCGCAGUAAGUGGCUCACUGCAAUCUCUGCCUGCCGUAUUCAAGCGAUUCUCCUGCCUCAGCCUGCCUAGUAGCUGGGACUACAGGUGUGCACCACCAUGCCCGGCUAAUUUUUGUAUUUUUAGUAGAGACGGGGUUUUGCCUUUUUGGCCAGGCUGGUCUCGAACUCCUGACCUCAGGUGAUCCACCCACCUCGGGCUCUCAAAGUGCUGGGAUUACAGGCAUGAGCCACUGUGACUGGCCACAAAUACACGUUUUUUUUGUUUUUUUUGUUUUUUUUGUUUUUUUUUUGAGACAAAAUUUCAUUAUUGUUGCCCAGGCUGGAGUGCAAUGGCACAAUCUCGGCUCACCGCAACCUCCGCCUCCUGGAUUCAAGCGAUUCUCCUGCCUCAGCCUCCUGAGUAGCUGGGAUUACAGUCAUGCGCCACCACGCCCAGCUAAUUUUGUAGUUUUAGUAGAGAUGGGGUUUCUCCAUGUUGGUCAGGCUGGUCUCGAACUCCCAACCUUAGGUGAUCCGCCCGCCUCGGCCUCCCAGAGUGCUGGGAUUUCAAGCAUGAGCCACCACACCCAGCCGCAAAUAUGUGUUU
RNAcentral lists this long non-coding RNA (1940 nucleotides) under Homo sapiens (human). RNAcentral's name for it is "non-protein coding lnc-SLC16A1-2:5". The record is from RNAcentral. Lineage: Eukaryota; Metazoa; Chordata; Mammalia; Primates; Hominidae.